UGCAGUCGAACGAGAACGGUUCCUUCGGGAACCAAGUAAAGUGGCGAACGGGUGAGUAAUACAUAGACAACUUACCCCCGAGACGGGGACAACCACUCGAAAGGGUGGCUAAUACCCGAUACUGCCUGGAGUCGGUGGAUUCCAGGUGAAAGAAGGCCUCUGUUUCAAGCUUUCACUCGAGGAGGGGUUUAUGUCCUAUUAGCUAGUUGGUGAGGUAACGGCUCACCAAGGCGACGAUGGGUAGCCGGCCUGAGAGGGUGACCGGUCACACUGGGACUGAGACACUGCCCAGACUCCUACGGGAGGCUGCAGUCGAGAAUCUUCCGCAAUGCGCGCAAGCGUGACGGAGCGACGCCGCGUGGGUGAUGAAGGCCUUCGGGUUGUAAAACCCUGUUACCUACUAUGAACAAUUGGUGGUGAAUAACCAGCCAAACUGACGUAAGUAGGAGAGGAAGCACCGGCUAAAUACGUGCCAGCAGCCGCGGUAAUACGUAUGGUGCGAACGUUAUUCGGAAUUACUGGGCAUAAAGGGCGCGUAGGCGGUUUGGUAAGUCUGUAUGUGAAAUCCCUCGGCUUAACCGAGGAACUGCAUCGGAUACUGCCAGACUAGAGUGCAGGAGGGGAGAGCGGAAUUCCUGGUGGAGCGGUGAAAUGCGUAGAUAUCAGGAGGAACGCCAGUGGCGAAAGCGGCUCUCUGGUCUGCAACUGACGCUGAGGCGCGAAAGCUAGGGGAGCGAACGGGAUUAGAUACCCCGGUAGUCCUAGCCCUAAACGAUGGGCACUAGGUAGAGGAAGUUUUAGAGCUUUCUCUGCUGUAGCUAAUGUAUUAAGUGCCCCCGC
RNAcentral lists this ribosomal RNA (840 nucleotides) under Planctomycetes bacterium SCGC AAA003-J23. RNAcentral's name for it is "SSU rRNA". It matches the Rfam family "Bacterial small subunit ribosomal RNA", at positions 56 to 872 of the family's 1533-position model. The record is from RNAcentral. Lineage: Bacteria; Pseudomonadati; Planctomycetota.